UUACCGAAACCAUCUCCAUUCCUUUCUGGCAUACCCUCCACGAGGUACCCAUUAGCAAUCCUCAUUCUUGAUUUGUCUGAAUCACGAUAUCACAAGAGAAUGCAACCAUGAAAUCACUUCUCUUUUUUUGUCUGAACCACGAAAUCACAAGAUCUUUUCCAUUCUUUCAACAUUCUUGAUUUCUCUUUGAUUUCUUGGAUUUUUCUCUACAGCUUAGCAUCUUUUUCCAUUCUGAAGCUUUGGUUUAUCUCAUAUUUUUUUUUUUCGUGAAUUUCAUCUCAGAUUUGCUAUUUCUAUGUCGGUCUGGGAGAUGAAGGGGUUGUGGGUGGGUUGUGGCUGGAGUGAGUGGUCGAUGAGGUGAAAUGGUGAGGUCCAUAUCGAAACCCCAACCCAGCCAUAGCUUCCCUGUGAGAUCCAUUCAACCAAUCUAACAAAUAAAGAUGAACAUUGAUACGAAGAAAAGUGGAUCUAAAAAUGAUUUUGGCUUUUUCAAUUGGGUUUGUGUUGAUGCAGCGUUUGUCUGCUCAACCUUGAAUGCUAUCCAAUGUUAAUCUUCUUCAACACAAUUUUUCCUUUUCAUUCUAUGGUGAACCAAAGAGAGAGUCAAGAUCCAAAAAAGAGAGAGAGAGAGAGAGAGAGAGAGAGAGAGAGAGAGAGAGAGAGAGAGAAUAAGGUGGGGUUGUUAGAGUUCCUUCUUGGCUUUCCAUGGGAGAUCGAGAAUGAUGGCUACAUAUCAGAAUUAGAGAGUGGGAUUGGGUUUAGGUAAGAAGAUCAGUUUGUUGGUUGUGGGAAUUGUUUUAAUCAUUUUAAAAGGUAAAGGGAGGAGGAGGGAUGGUGGCUGGGGAUGAAAGUAAGGGAUAGAGACGGAAAGGGGGUGGGGAGGGGUGGCUGAGGUCGUGAUGGGGUUGGCUGGGUGUGGAAGAGAACGAAAUAGUUAUGGCCGCC
Molecule: long non-coding RNA, 945 nt
Filed under: Prunus persica (peach)
Lineage: Eukaryota; Viridiplantae; Streptophyta; Magnoliopsida; Rosales; Rosaceae
Description: long non-coding RNA (PPER_LNC005445)
Source: RNAcentral